GCGUCUGAUCCUGCUCAAUUGAACGCUGGCGGGAUGCUUUGGUGGCAAGUCAGAACGGCAGCAUCGACUUCGGGGUCUGGUGGCGAGUGGCAGUUGGUGAAAGGCAAUGUAUCGGAACGUGCCUAGUGAAGUAGUGAUAACUACGCGAAAGUACACGACGCGGCUAGUCAUUCUUUCGCUGGGGGAGCGGGACCGGGCCCUCCUCUGCACUAGGAGCGGCCGAUAUCGGAUUAGCUGUUGUGGGGUAAUCCACCAAGGCGACGAUCCGUAGCUGGUUUGAGAGUGAUUUAAUGCUUUCACACUGGGACUGAGGACAUUUACCCAGACUCACGGGAGGCAGCAGUGGGGGAAUUUGACAAUGGGGAAACCUCGAUCCGUGCCAUCCGUGCGAUGAAGGCCUUCGCUACAAAGGCACUUUUACAGGAAAGAAAGGCACGGGACGAUAGCGACCCUGCAACUCGACGGUACCUGCAGAAUAGCCACCGGCGACCAUGUUGUAGCAGCCGCGGUAAUACGUAGGGCAAGCGUUAAUCGAAUUACUGGCGUAAAAGCGUGUCUGAAAGAAAGAUGAAAUCCCAGAGCUUAACUUUGGAACCGCAUUUUAACUUACUGAGCUAUAAAUAGAGGGGAGAGGUGGAAUCAUGCAGCAAGUGAAAUGCGUAGAUAUGCGGAGGAACACCGAUGAAGGCAGCCUCCAAGAUACAAACACUGACGUCGAAAGUGCUCUGAAAGCGUGGUGAAACAGGAUUAGAUACCCUGGUAGUCCACGCCCUAAACGAUGUCAACCAGCUGUUAGCCUUCGGCUCCGGUAGCGCAGCUAACGCGUGAAGUUGAAUCGUCUGCAGCACACGACGCAAGAUUGUGCGCAAAACUCACAGUGAAUUGAUGACGGGGACCCGCACAGCGGUGGAUGAUGUGGAUUAAUUCGAUGCAACGCGAAAACCUUACCUACCCUUUUGACAGUUCUGGAAUCCCGAAGAGAUUUGGGAGUGCUCGUGAACCGGAACACAGGUGCUGCAUGUAUGCCGUCAGCUCGUGUCGCAGAUGCGUUGGGCGGUUAAGUCCCGCAACGAGCGCAACCUUCUGUCAUUAGUUGCUACGAAAGGGUACCUCUAAUGACUGCCGGUGACAAACCGGAGGAAGGUGGGGAUGACGUCGGAAACCGCUGGCCUUCGGUGGGUAGGGUCACAUCACGUCAUACAAUGGUCGUGGACAGAGGGUCGCCAACCUGGGCGAGGGGGGAGCUGGCGUUAAUCCCAGAAACCUGAUCGAAUGUCCGGGUCGGCAGUCUGCAACUCGACUUUCCGUGAAGCCGACCGCCAGGAAUCGCGGAUCGGCAUGUCGCGGUGAAUACGUUCAGGUCUGUACAUCGCCGCCACCAUGUGGUGAGUGGGUCGGCCAGGCGCAGUUAGCCUAACCGUAGCGGAGGCGGCGAUUACCACGGUGAGAUUCAUGACUGGGGUAGUCGUAACAGGUAG
RNAcentral lists this ribosomal RNA (1478 nucleotides) under uncultured Bordetella sp. Its description in RNAcentral is "partial 16S-23S ribosomal RNA intergenic spacer". It matches the Rfam family "Bacterial small subunit ribosomal RNA". Lineage: Bacteria; Pseudomonadati; Pseudomonadota; Betaproteobacteria; Burkholderiales; Alcaligenaceae. The record is from RNAcentral.